RNAcentral lists this ribosomal RNA (448 nucleotides) under uncultured bacterium. RNAcentral describes it as "bacterial SSU rRNA". It matches the Rfam family "Bacterial small subunit ribosomal RNA", at positions 355 to 825 of the family's 1533-position model. The record is from RNAcentral.
UCGGGAAUUUUGGGCAAUGGGGGAAACCCUGACCCAGCAACGCCGCGUGAAGGAUGAAGUAUUUCGGUAUGUAAACUUCGAAAGAAUAGGAAGAAUAAAUGACGGUACUAUUUUAUAAGGUCCGGCUAACUACGUGCCAGCAGCCGCGGUAAUACGUAGGGACCAAGCGUUGUUCGGAUUUACUGGGCGUAAAGGGCGCGUAGGCGGCAUGACAAGUCACUUGUGAAAUCUCUGGGCUUAACCCAGAACGGCCAAGUGAUACUGUCGCGCUAGAGUGCAGAAGGGGCAAUCGGAAUUCUUGGUGUAGCGGUGAAAUGCGUAGAUAUCAAGAGGAACACCUGAGGUGAAGACGGGUUGCUGGGCUGACACUGACGCUGAGGCGCGAAAGCCAGGGGAGCAAACGGGAUUAGAUACCCACGUAGUCCCUGAGCGGGCUGGCAAGGCGCAU